RNAcentral lists this long non-coding RNA (1017 nucleotides) under Cricetulus griseus (Chinese hamster). RNAcentral describes it as "lncRNA (ENSCGRG00015033234.1)". The record is from RNAcentral. Lineage: Eukaryota; Metazoa; Chordata; Mammalia; Rodentia; Cricetidae.
CUUCUAUCUCCUGCCUCCGCCUAGGAAUGCCAGGAUUACACGUGUGUAAAAUUUAAUUGAACAGCUGUCAACCCUUCGUCACAGGUCCCUGAACAAUCAUCACAGUCACAUCUUAGCAGCAGCAUGCUUCAGUGACAUCCUAAGACAACUAUUAUAAUUGUUUGUUUGCUUGCUUAUUUUUUCCAGACCCGGUUUCACUGUGUAUCCCUGGCUGUCCUGGAAAUUGCCCUAUAUACCAAGCUGGGCUGGAACUCAAAGAUUCGCCUGCCUCUGUCUCCCGAAUGCUGGGAUUAAAGGCCAGGAGAGAUGGCUCAACAGUUAAGAGCAUAUACUGCUCUUCAGAAGACCAAAGCUCAGUUCCCAGCAUCCACAUGCCAGUUUACAAACACCUGUAACUUCAACUCCAAGGGAUCUGAACCCCUCUCCUGGCUUCCUUAGACACCAGUACUCACAGUUGCACAAAUGUACACAUGUAUAAAACUUCUGUGGAAUAUCAGGAACCCGGAAAGUCUGCAUCAGAAGGAAGCUCCCACAGGCUAACUGACUGUGAUCCUCCCCCCUGGCCAGCCAACUCUCAGAUUUCCUUCCCAGAGAUGUCUUCACUCCAGACAGCAUCUUCCCCUGGGCUGAGUGUGAAGUCGGCAGGACAGAGGAUAUGAUGGUCCAAGCCAGGGAGAGGACUGUAUACAGAUCCCGGGUGCCACGACAGACUCUUUAUGACGUUCUGCACUUACUGAGGAAGCCAGGACAACCCCAGCAGAGUUGGAGAAACUGAGGCCAAAGGGUUCAGUGACUUCCCAAGGUUACAGAGCUGACCAGAGCCGGCUGGAGCUCAUAUUUCAGCCCAGGAUGAUGGGAUUCUGAACUGAGCACGAUGACCCAUACCUGUAAUCCCAGCACUCAGGAAGUUGAGGCCAGAGGAUUUUCAUGAGCUGGAGGCCAGCCUGGGAUACAUAUGGAGGCUGCUCUAUGCUACAGAGACCUUGAUACAAUCAAAUAAAGCAAAGCAAAUGAGCC